This 253-nucleotide ribosomal RNA is filed under the name uncultured bacterium. Its description in RNAcentral is "partial 16S ribosomal RNA". It matches the Rfam family "Bacterial small subunit ribosomal RNA", at positions 524 to 776 of the family's 1533-position model. The record is from RNAcentral.
UACAGAGGUGGCAAGCGUUGUUCGGAAUUACUGGGCGUAAAGGGCGCGUAGGCGGCCCGUCAAGUCCCGUGUGAAAGCCCCCGGCUCAACCGGGGAACGGCGCGGGAAACUAGCAGGCUUGAGUUCGGGAGAGGGAAGCGGAAUUCCGGGUGUAGCGGUGAAGUGCGCAGAUAUCCGGAGGAACACCGGUGGCGAAGGCGGCUUCCUGGACCGACACUGACGCUGAGGCGCGAAAGCUAGGGGAGCAAACGGG